RNAcentral lists this ribosomal RNA (482 nucleotides) under uncultured bacterium. Its description in RNAcentral is "partial 16S ribosomal RNA". It matches the Rfam family "Bacterial small subunit ribosomal RNA", at positions 30 to 507 of the family's 1533-position model. The record is from RNAcentral.
AUUGAACGCUGGCGGCAUGCCUUACACAUGCAAGUCGAACGGUAACAGGUCUUCGGAUGCUGACGAGUGGCGAACGGGUGAGUAAUACAUCGGAACGUGCCCGAUCGUGGGGGAUAACGAGGCGAAAGCUUUGCUAAUACCGCAUACGAUCUACGGAUGAAAGCGGGGGAUCUUCGGACCUCGCGCGGACGGAGCGGCCGAUGGCAGAUUAGGUAGUUGGUGGGAUAAAAGCUUACCAAGCCGACGAUCUGUAGCUGGUCUGAGAGGAUGAUCAGCCACACUGGGACUGAGACACGGCCCAGACUCCUACGGGAGGCAGCAGUGGGGAAUUUUGGACAAUGGGCGAAAGCCUGAUCCAGCCAUGCCGCGUGCAGGAUGAAGGCCUUCGGGUUGUAAACCGCUUUUGUACGGAACGAAAAGCCUCUUUCUAAUAAAGAGGGGUCAUGACGGUACCGUAAGAAUAAGCACCGGCUAACUACGUG